AUCCUUGGGUUCAGAAACCUUUUGCUCCUCGAUCUCUCUCAUCUGUGUCACUGUGACGACGCCAUCGUUUUGGUUCCCGCACGGAUGACCUUUCCUUACCCUUACCUUCAGUCUUCAUUCUAAACCCCUAUCUUUAACAGCUUCUCCCCAAAUCAAAAAAGGAAGUUGAAACAGGAAAGCUAGCUUCUCCACCACCGCCGCAAGAACUGCCGCCGUCCGUCGCUCUCAGGCACUACCAUCGUCGUCUGGUCGUCCGUGCUUCUUCCUCCUUCAAGAAUCGCAGCUUCUUCUUCCUCGAGCUCGGCGCGUCAGUUCCUGGUAUAUCAUCUGCUCCAUCGCGCUCCUGCCGCCGUCCGUCGGGCGCUCAGUCACCAUCGUCUUCGUCUGGUCGUCGCAGAUUCUUCCAACUCAAACCGUCUUCUGAGUUGUGUUCGUCGCCUGGCCUCUGUCUCCGUCACGAUUCUGCCCCG
Molecule: long non-coding RNA, 470 nt
Filed under: Arachis ipaensis
Lineage: Eukaryota; Viridiplantae; Streptophyta; Magnoliopsida; Fabales; Fabaceae
Description: long non-coding RNA (AIPA_LNC002064)
Source: RNAcentral